CCCUUAGAUGUUCUGGGCCGCACGCGCGCUACACUGACUGGUGCAACAAGUGUCUGACCUUGGCUCGAGAGGCCUGGGCAACCUUUGAACGCCAGUCGUGCUGGGGAUAGAUUCUUGCAAUUAUUAAUCUUCAACGAGGAAUUCCUAGUAAACGCAAGUCAUCAGCUUGCAUUGAUUACGUCCCUGCCCUUUGUACACACCGCCCGUCGCACCUACCGAUUGGAUGGUCCGGUGAAGCCUCGGGAUUGUGGUUCUUGCCGCUUUAUUGUGGCGUGACCGCGAGAACUUGUCUAAACCUUAUCAUCUAGAGGAAGGUGAAGUCGUAACA
RNAcentral lists this ribosomal RNA (328 nucleotides) under uncultured eukaryote. RNAcentral describes it as "partial 18S ribosomal RNA". It matches the Rfam family "Eukaryotic small subunit ribosomal RNA", at positions 1470 to 1796 of the family's 1831-position model. The record is from RNAcentral.